RNAcentral lists this long non-coding RNA (13381 nucleotides) under Cucumis sativus (cucumber). RNAcentral's name for it is "long non-coding RNA (CSAT_LNC002503)". The record is from RNAcentral. Lineage: Eukaryota; Viridiplantae; Streptophyta; Magnoliopsida; Cucurbitales; Cucurbitaceae.
CCUCAUCACUCUCCUCCUUGCUCUUCUAAUCUCACACUCAUGGCUAUUCAAAUCCCAAAUCAAACCCAAAAAAUCCCCUCCAGGGCCAAAAGGGUUUCCCAUUUUUGGUUGCCUUCAUUUACUAGGAAAACUCCCUCACAGAAAUCUCCACGAAUUAUCCCAAAAGUAUGGACCCAUAAUGAGCAUGAAACUAGGGCUUGUUCCCACCAUCAUAGUCUCAUCCCCUCACGCCGCCCAACUCUUCCUCAAAACCCACGACCUCAUUUUUGCAAGCCGCCCCUCUUCACAAGCUUCAAAACACAUCUCUUAUCAACAAAAAAAUUUAGUCUUUGCUCCAUAUGGUCCUUAUUGGCGCAACAUGCGUAAAAUGUGCACUCUUGAAUUGCUUAGUAACCUUAAAAUCAAUUCUUUCAUGCCUAUGAGAAAACACGAGCUUGGUUUGUUGAUUGAGUACUUAAAAGAAGCUGCUCAUAACAAAGCUGUUGUGAAUCUGAGUGCUAAAGUUACGUCACUUACAACUGACAUUAUUUGUUUGAUGGCAUUUGGAAAGAAAUAUGGAGAUGAAGAAAUUGAUGAAAGGGGUUUUAAGGCUGUAAUACAAGAAGGUAUGCAGUUGUCUGCUGCGCCUAAUUUGGGGGAUUUUAUUCCGGCAAUUGCUUGGCUUGAUCUUCAAGGAUUUACUCGUAAAAUGAAACGUGUUCAUAAGGUGUAUGAUGAAUUUCUUGAAAAGAUUAUUAAUGAACAUCUUGUGGCUAGAGGUGGGAAGAAGACUAGGGAUUUUGUUGAUGUUAUGUUGGAUCUUAUUGGUUCUCAACAAACUGAGUAUCAAAUUGAUCGUUCUGCUAUUAAAGCUAUAAUGCUGGUAUGCCUACCUCUUUCUUCUAUUUCUAUCUUUUCAAUCCUACGUCUUCUCAAACUUUUUAUAUUUUUAUUUUUGUACAUCACUUACCUUAAAAAGAAUAAUAAAUUGCUAUCCAAUUAUAAUGAAAGGUUAAAAAAACAAACGUUUUUUUUUGUGUUUUUUCUUAUAUUUUUUUAUUAACCUAACAAAUGUGGUGGGAAGGUUCUUUAACAUAUGUGCUGAAGAAAGGAGAUUGUUAUGAAUUUUGUGUUUGAUUUUGAUGAUUAUUGUUUAAUAAAUCUUUAAAAUAAUUUUGUGUCAAUUAUUGAUUAUUAAAAUUUUUAUUUAUGUAUUUAAUAUAGGUCAUUAACCUAUCAUAUUCAACAUUUUUAAAGUUCUAAUUUAGUUUAUAGUUAUAUUAAACAUGAAAUUUAAAUUAGUGUCGAUUGAACAACUCAUUUUGAAAAUUUUUACCUGUCCAUGUUGGUUAAAGACAUUUAAUCUUACAUUUAAUGUAAAAAAAAAAAAACAAAAAACAAAAAAAAAUUAUCAUGGAGACACUUACUUUACAUUAAAUUAUAUUAUCCCCUAAUUAAUGAACUAAGAAAAACAGUAUAUUUACUUUUUAUCGGUGCAAUUAUGAGGAUGGCUGAAGAGCGAUAGAACAGAAGUGGACAGAUAUCUUUGAAAUAUAAAAGAAAUCACUAAAUAUUUACCCAAGAAUAAAUAUAUCACUAAAAUUCAAAAGUGAUUUACAAACCAUUUUUUGCUUUUGGAUAAAUAUUUUGUCAAUUAUUGGAUACUAUUUUUAGAAAUAAUAAAGGUGUAUAAUAACAUUACUAAAAAAUUUAAAAUAUAAUGGAGUUUGUGAUUUAUCCCUAGAUUUUCACUGCUAUUUUUCAAUAAACUUGUACUUAUGAUAUGAUUUAGAUUUUGAAAACUGGUUGUUGUAAACUUUUUUCCUUGUUCUACAUUAACUUGUCUAUUAUAUGAGAUCCACUAACAUUGAUUUAAAAUUUAUUGAUAUUUAUGUAAUGAAAUAUAUAAUGUGAAAGAAAAAUAUAUGGUAACCAUACUUGUGAAGGUCGGCAUUCAAAUUAUCUUUAUUAUUUACCUUUAUUGAACAACACAAAAGAAUAUUCCACAAAUAUAGGGAAAAAAAACUUGGUUUAUCUUAUUUAUUUAUUUGGUUGUUUGUACUAUUAAAUGCAUUGUCAUCCCCAUACUCUAUCCCUUUAGUUUAUAUUUAUUGUGUUGGGUACUUCUUGUAGGAUAUGCUUGCAGCAGCAAUGGACACAUCAUCAACAACAAUAGGAUGGGCAAUGUCAGAGCUAAUAAGACAUCCAGAUGUAAUGAAGAAAAUGCAAGAUGAAUUACAAGAAGUUGUUGGUUUACACAGAAUGGUUCAAGAAUCUGACUUAGUAAGCUUAGAGUACUUAGAAAUGGUAGUGAAAGAGAUUAUGAGGCUAUAUCCAGCAGGUCCAUUAUUGAUUCCACGCGAGUCUCUUGAAGACUGCACUGUCGAUGGGUUCCAUAUUCCCAAGAAAUCAAGAGUAAUGGUAAAUGUAUGGACUAUUGGGCGAGACCCGAGUGUUUGGAAUGAUCCACACAAGUUCUUUCCUGAGAGGUUUAUUGGUAGCAAAAUAGAUUUGAAGGGUAAUGAUUUUGAAUUGAUUCCAUUUGGUGGUGGGCGUAGAGGAUGCCCUGGAAUACAAUUGGGCUUAACUAUGGUUCGGUUAUUGUUGGCUCAACUUGUGCAUUGUUUUGAUUGGAAGCUUCCAAAUGGUAUGUUGCCAUCUGAAUUAGAUAUGACCGAAGAAUUUGGAUUGACUUGUCCUAGAGCAAAAGAUCUCAUGGUUAUUCCUACCUUUCGUCUUAAUGAUUCAAUUAGUACUAAGAAUUUGUCUUCUUGAAUAACCUAGAUAAUAUAUAAGUAAUGAUUGAUAAUAUAUAAUAAUGGUCAAGAUAAAGAGUGAUUGAAAUACUCUCUUUAUAUAAAUAAUAAUAUACAUAGAAACUUUUAUCAUCCUUUACCACUUCUUCCCGUUAGUUGAAAUAAAUGAAUAACAUUCGUCUUAUUUGAUAAUUAUUUGAUUAUUUAAAUUAAAAAUGAAGCUCGUAAAAUGAUAUUUUACGUAUAUAGUUUUGAAAACUUUUUAAAAAUAUACAUGGUCUUUUUGUUCACAAAUUUUUUAUACAAAUUACUUUGGAAUUUUGUUAUUGAAUUUUGAUUUAUUUUUAUUAAAAAAAUAAAUGGAAACAGGAAAAAGGUAAGGAAAUUAAAAAGGGGGAUGAGUAUAAGAGUGGCCAAAACUCCAAGCCAUGCCCAAUCAAUGAUACAUUUGUAAGCAUGGACAAAGAAAGUAUUUGGCAGUGAUCUAUCAGUACAAAGAAUUUGUUUUUGUAAUUUAUAUCUCACAAAGACGUGAACAAGAGUGUACCAACUUUACACAAAUCAUAUUGACCAUUCAUCAUAAUUAUCACGACCAUCACAUCAAAUUUUUAUGGGUUUAAUAUUUUAAAUAAAAUAUUAUUUCGAUUCCUAUACUUUUAAAUAUUACAUUUUUAACAAAUUUAAAAUAAACUCAUCUCUUCUGUUUUUGGUUAAAAUUAUGUACCCAAACUGUUACAUGGUAAAUAAAUUCAAAGCGAUAAACAAUUGGAACAACGUCCACCAUGGGUGUUUGAACUAGAGUGAGAGAAUGUGGGAUGGACUUUACUUUGAACAUUUAAUUUUGAUAGGGAAUGGGUGUGUUGAAGUUCAGAACAGUUGGAUAAAACCACAACAAUUUUUCAUUUUCAACUCACAUAAUUUUUUCUUCAUUUUAUUCAAAACAAAAUAUAUGUACUUUAAUAAAUGUUAAAUAUAAUCUUAUAGUCUCCUUGUAACUAGAUCAACCUCUAAUUUUAAACUAUACAUUAUAUAUUUAUUUAAGAUUACAUGAAUAAUUACUAUUUUCAUUAUAAAAAAAUUAACAUUAAAAAAAAGAAUCUUUUUUUAUGGUGAAGAAAGAGAUCGUAUUCAUAUUCCAUGUUGUCAACAUUUGAUGAUAAAAGAAUACACAAAAAAAAAAGAUAUUCUCGUCACUUCACUCCUCUAUGUCAUCGAAUAUAAAAUAUGUCGAUGUUGUUAGUGAAAUUCUAAUUUUUUAAGUUCUAUUAAUAAAAUAUCGACAUCAAUAAUUAAGUUACUAAAUAUUGGUCGACAUGUUUGUUUGGACAUAAAUCCGGAUGGAUGUUAGAACUAUUAAAAUAAGCAACAAUGUCGGAGGACCAAUAAUGUCUAUUAUGUUUUGAGAUAUUGUUAACUUUAAUUUAAUUUUAAUUUUGAUUGGAUUAUGCUGUAUUGUAGCUUGGCAUGAAACCAUAAAAUUUCAUGAAUAAAAAGUUAUUUAUUUAGUGGUUGCAACAAAAAGUAAGUAUGAGAAAACCAAGAUAAAAGAAAAUCGACAAUAAUUAUGUGCAAAAUAGGUUGCAUUUAUAUCAUGUAUAAUCUUUUUUAACAUAGUAAAAAAUAAUAAUAAUCAAUUUCUUUAAAAGAAAUUAAAACCCAAAAAUACGCUCACCAUUCACCAAUCAUCACCUAAAGACACUCCAAAGGUUAAAAUUAAAAUAUGUCUAUAUUGAAAUUUUAAUUUUAUAGUUAUAUUGAUAAAAUAAAGGUAGAGAUCAAAGAAAGUGUAGGUUUGAGAUCGAUUUUAAAAUAAUUUAAAGCACUUGUUUAUCUAAAAUUAUUCUAAAACACAUUUUUUUUUAAAAAUUUCACGUUGAAUUUUACCGUCUUAAACCAAAAUUUUCAUACUAAUAUAAUUAAAAUUGAACUAAUACUUUUUCUUAUUUUCAAAACCACUCUCAAUCUUAGUUGAUAUUUGAUGCAUAUCUUUAUCAUUGUUUUAUCCUUUUUCACACAACCCAACCCAUCUAUUUAUAAUCUCAACUACAUAUCCAAGACCCCAACACUAUCAUCUCAUUUGAACAAAAUCUAAGCCGUCCCAACAGUAGAGAGACACUAAAAAAGAGCCUAUGGCUUUGAUUUUGGUCGUCGUCGUCGUCAUCACUCUCCUCCUUGCUCUUCUAAUCUCACAUUCAUGGCUAUUCAAAACCCAAAUCAAACCCAAAAAAUUCCCUCCAGGGCCAAAAGGGUUUCCCAUUUUUGGUUGCCUCCAUUUACUAGGAAAACUCCCUCACAGAAAUCUCCACGAAUUAUCCCAAAAAUAUGGACCCAUAAUGAGCAUGAAACUAGGGCUUGUUCCCACCAUCAUAGUCUCAUCCCCUCAAGCCGCCAAACUCUUCCUCAAAACCUACGACCUCAUUUUUGCAAGCCGCCCCUCUUCACAAGCUUCAAAACACAUCUCUUAUCAACAAAAAAAUUUAGUCUUUGCUCCAUAUGGUCCUUAUUGGCGCAACAUGCGUAAAAUGUGCACUCUUGAAUUGCUUAGUAACCUUAAAAUCAACUCUUUCAUGCCUAUGAGAAAACACGAGCUUGGUUUGUUGAUUGAGUACUUAAAAGAAGCUGCUCAUAACAAAGCUGUUGUGAAUCUGAGUGCUAAAGUUACGUCACUUACAACUGACAUUAUUUGUUUGAUGGAAUUUGGGAAGAAAUAUGGAGAUGAAGAUUUUGAUGAAAGAGGGUUUAAGGCUGUAAUACAAGAAGGUAUGCAGUUUGCUGCUGCGCCUAAUUUGGGGGAUUUUAUUCCGGCAAUUGCUUGGCUUGAUCUUCAAGGAUUUACUCGUAAAAUGAAACGUGUUCAUAAGGUGUAUGAUGAAUUUCUUGAAAAGAUUAUUAAUGAACAUCUUGUGGCUAGAGGUGGGAAGAAGACUAGGGAUUUUGUUGAUGUUAUGUUGGAUCUUAUUGAUUCUCAACAAACUGAGUAUCAAAUUGAUCGUUCUGCUAUUAAAGCUAUAAUGCUGGUAUGCCAAUUCUUCUAUUUCUACUUUUUUUAAUCCUACGUUUUCUCAAACUUUUUUAGAUUAAAAGAAAAAUAUAUUAUAUUUAGGGUAAUAUUUGGAUGCAUAUUUAUUUUUGUCCAACACAUACCUUAAAAAAAUUAAAAUAUUUCAAAAAUGAACUAAGUUGCUACGUUAUUAUAUGUUAUAAUUGGAUAAUUUGGUGUACCAAAACAAAUAUAAUCUUUGUGUUUUUUCUUAAAACAAAUGUGGUGGGAAGGUUCUUUUAACAAAUGAACUGAAGGAAAUGAGGGUGUUAUGAAUUUUGAGUUUAAUACUGGUUAUUGUUGUUUAAUAAAUCUUUAAAAUAAUUUUUUGUCAAUUGAUUACUGAUUUGUUUUAAUUAUUUAAUAUAGGUCAUUAACCUAUCUUACAUUUUCUCAAAAAAAAAAAAGAAAAAAAAAGAAAAGAGAAAACAUCAUGGUGACACUUACUUUAAAUUAAAUUAUCUUAUCCCCUAUUUAAUGAACACUAUAUUUAUUGCUUAUCGGUGCAAUUAUGGGGGUGGCUGAAGAGAGAGAAAACAUGUGGACAGAUAUCUUUGAAAUAUAGAAGAAAUCACAGAAAUAUUUACCCAAAAAAACAUCACAAAUUCAAAAGUUAUUUACAAACCAUUUUUCUUUACAAUUUUAGAUAAAUAUUUUGUUGAUUUCAUCGAAAACUUUUAGAUAUUGAUGAGGUGAUGUUUUAGAAACAAUAAUUAAGUGUAUUAUAGUAUUUUAAAAUUAUAAAUAUAACAUAGUUAAUUUAUAUUUAUUUUAUACUUUUAUAACUUUUUUUUGUUUGAAAACUGGUUAUUUAAUUAUUAUUUUUCUUUGUUCCACAUCAACUUGUUUACAUUGAUGUAAAAUUUAUUGAUAUUCAUAAUGUGAAAAAAGAAAAAAAAAGGGUAAACAUACUUGUGAAGGCCGGCAUCCAAAUUAUUAUAAUUAGUUAAUUUUAUUAUUUAACUUUGUUUAUGGAAGAACACAAAAGAAUAUUCCACACUUAUUGAAAAAUAAUACUUGGGUUUCUAUUUUUUAAUUAAUAGUAUGAAAGAUUUAAUUUAAAAGUAGAGAGACCCACAAUAAUAAAUUAGAAGUAAUGAAAUCAAUUGUUAUUAAUAGUUUUACUUAAUUACGUAUUUCUGUUUUUGGUUGGGUUCUUUUAGGAUAUGCUUGCAGGAGCAAUGGAUACAUCAUCAACAACAAUAGGAUGGGCAAUGUCAGAGCUGAUUAGACAUCCAGAUGUAAUGAAGAAAAUGCAAGAUGAAUUACAAGAGGUUGUUGGUUUACACAGAAUGGUUCAAGAAUCUGACUUAGUAAACUUAGAAUACUUGGAAAUGGUAGUGAAAGAGAUUAUGAGGCUAUAUCCAGCAGGUCCAUUAUCCAUUCCACGCGAGUCUCUUGAAGACUGCACUGUCGAUGGGUUCCAUAUUCCCAAGAAAUCAAGAGUAAUAGUGAAUGUAUGGGCUAUUGGGCGAGACCCGAGUGUUUGGAAUGAUCCACACAAGUUCUUUCCUGAGAGGUUUAUUGGUAGCCAAAUAGAUUUGAAGGGUAAUGAUUUUGAAUUGAUUCCAUUUGGUGGUGGGCGUAGAGGAUGUCCUGGAAUGCAAUUGGGCUUAACUAUGGUUCGGUUAUUGUUGGCUCAACUUGUGCAUUGUUUUGAUUGGGAGCUUCCAAAUGGUAUGUUGCCAUCUGAAUUGGAUAUGACCGAAGAGUUUGGAUUGACUUGUCCUAGAGCAGAAGAUCUUAUGGUUAUUCCUACCUUUCGUCUUAAUGAUUCAAUUAGUACUAAGGAUUCGUCUUCUUGAAUGAUGUAGAUUAUAUCUAGGUAAUGGUUGAUAUUAUAAUAAUGAUUAAGAUAAAGAGUGGUUGAAAAGCUCUCCAUAUAUAUGAAUGAUAAUACACAUAGAAAAUUUUAUCUUUCUUGCCACAUCUGGUCGUUAAUUGAAAUAAAUGGAUAAUAAUAAUCAUUUUAUUUGAUUUUUUAAAUUGAAAAUGAAGCUUGUAAAACGAUAAUUUUAUCUAUAAGUUUAUUUAUUUCAUAAUCCACUUUUAAUCAUUUGUUUAAACAUGAAGUUAUCUAGUUUCAAAAACUUAUAGAAAGAGAUACUGGACUAUUCUGUUCACAUUUAUUUUUAGUUAUAGUUUCAAAAACUUAUAGAAAGAGAUACUGGACUAUUCUGUUCACAUUUAUUUUUAGUUAUAGUCCACAUUUGUUUUUAGUUUGUAUAAAUAACUCAACUUGCUUAUAUUUAGUUUGUAUAAAUAACUCAACUUGCUUAUAUUUAUUUGGAUAACUUGUUUUCUUUUACACUUCACAUGUAUUAAGGAAAAUGAUUUUCUAACUUCAACCUAACUUCAUACUUACUGUGAAUUUAAAUACUUACCUUAAGAAAGAUGACGACUCCAACAUCCAAAAUGGGUAAUUUUUUUUCUCUCUCAAGUGUCCAUUUACUUGGGUUGAACUAUUAGUUUGAUUUGAGAUGACAUUGAGUGUAGAUUUAUAAAUAAUUACGACAAAGACGAAAAAUGGGAACCACCUUAAGAUUUUGGGCUCUAGGACAGAUCAACCCCAAAAUUUCUGUCAUGUCCAAUUCAAGGGGUGACAUACCAUUGGGAGGCUUCAAAUCAAAACAGUGUACUAAUUGAGCCACUACAAGACGAACCACAACCAAAGCUAAUUGUAUUCCAACACAGCCUCUUCGACCCGAUCCAAAUGGAAUUAGUUCAAAAUCUCUUCCUUUCACAUCCACUUCACUUUCCAAAAAUCUCUCCGGAUCAAACUUGUGAGGAUCAACCCAAGUAUUUGGAUCUCUUCCAAUGGCCCAUGCAUUUAUUACUAUUCUUGAUUUCUCAGGGAUAUGAUACCCAUUUAUAUUGCAAUCUUGUAUGCAUUCUCUUGGAAUUAAUGGAACUGGUGGAUGCAUUCUCAAACUCUCUUUUAUUACCAUCUCCAAGUAUUUCAAGUUACUUAAGUCUGAUUCUUCCACCAUUCUAUUCAGUCCUACCACUUUUUCUAAUUCUUCUUGCAACUUUUUCAUUAUGUGUGGAUUCUUAAUAAGUUCUGAUAACAUCCAAUUGAUUGUUGUUGUUGUACUAUCCACGGCUGCAAUAAGGAAAUCCUGCAAAAAAAUUAAGAAAUAUUCUCAGGUUUAGUUAUACAUUCUUUAAAAUAAUUUAAAAUGAGAGUUUAGCAAAAUUUCAUCUAUUAUAGAGAUCUAUCCAUUUUUUGGCUUAUCACUAAUAAACAAUAAUUUCUUUUUGCUGUAUUUAAAAACAAGCUCUUUCAAAUUAAACACUAAAGAAAAAAGAAAUCCAAGAUACACUCUCAAUCAAUCAAUUCACUUACCAGGAUUAUAGCUUUGAUAUUUGAUCGAUCAAUUUGGUACUCUCGAGAUCCCAUCAAAUCCAACAAAACAUCCACAAAAUCCUUGUCUUUAUUAUCCCUCUGGAACACAACAUGUUCUUCAACAAUCCUCUCUAAGAACCCAUCAAAUAUUUUCCCAACAGCUUUUGCACGACCCCCAAAUCCUUGAACAUCAAACCUUGCAAUUAAAGGAAUAAAAUCUCCCAAAUUAGGAGCUGCCGCUAAUUGUGUAGCCUCUCGUAUCAAACCCUUAAACCCCUUUUCAUCCAACUCAUUAUCUUCAUAUUUUCUCCCCAACACCAUUACACAUAUCAUAUCUCCAAUAACACAAGAAAUUUUAGAAGUAAGAUCCACAGCCACGCCAUCUGUAGCAGCCACUUCAAGACCUCAAUCAACGAACCAACCUCUUGCUUUCUCAUUGAGGAAAAAGAGUUGAUUUUUAAGGAGCUAAGCAAUUCAAGAGUGCACAUCUUGCGAAUAUUGCGCCAAUAAGGACCAUAUUGAGCAAAAGCUACGCCCUUUCUACCGUAAGAAAUAUGGUUGGAAGUGAUGGUAAGAGGUCGGCUCGCAAAAUGAAGGUCGUGAGUUUUAAGGAAGAGCUCGGUUGCUCUAGGGGAGGAGACGAUAAUGGCGGGGAGAAAACCUAAUUGGAUGUGCAUUAUGGGACCGUAUAUUUGGGAUAAGUAAUGAAGGUCUCUGUGAAUGAGUUUGCCUAAUAGAUGAAGGCUUCCAAUAAUUGGAAACCCUUUUGGGCCAGGAGGGAGUUUGUUGCAUAAGGACUUGGUCUUGAGAAGCCAUUGUUGAAAGAGGUAAGGGAGAAGGAAGAUGAGUGUAAUUGUGGUCAAAAUAAUCCAAGUCAUGGCAAUUAUAUUAGAGAUGUAUUUGUGAGGUUAUGUGUAGGGUUUAUAAUAUAUUGAUAUAUUUCUAUUUAUAAAACGUUUUUCAUCGUUAACUGACCGUUUUUAGUUUUUGGUUUUGAAAUUUAUGAUUGUUUUAUCCCAAUUUUUUAAAAAUCGUUUUGGUUUUUCUUUAGUUAGAACAAAAACACUUUCUUUUUUUUUAAAAAAAUUAAAGUAAGAUCUAACUUUUUUACAUUUUUUAAAAUUAGUUUUUAAGGCUACAUUAAAUAAUUACCGUUUGAUUUUUGAAAAUCAAAGUUUUCUAGGAAUUGUUGUCUAUAUUUUAUGACUAUUUUCAAAAUCAAAACCAAAAAGUUGAAAACUAAAAAAGUUGGUUCAUGUUAAUUGAUCUAUAGCUCGCGUUAUAAUUUUCGCCUUCACAAAACAUUAUCAUAUUGAUUAUGCCGCACAUAUUUUUAAUUUCUACAUUAAAUAUGGUAACUGACCUACUAGUUUCUAUUAAUAAGCUAAUUAAUUACUCUAAUAACGGCUUAUAAAUUAAAAUAUUUACAAAUUAUAAUAAAAUUUUAGAUUUUUUAUAUUCGUUAUUAAUGUCACUCAUAAACACAUAUAAAUGUCUAUUAUUGAUAUAUAUUGAAAUUUGACAAUUUUCUUAAAUUAAAAUAUAAUUGUGGUCAUCACAAGAUUAUCAUUUAUAACUAUAUUUGUCGUAAUAAGUAUAUAUACCCUUGCUCACAAUGUUGAGUGCAAAGUUUGAGGUUGGAUUUACAUCCCCAUUUUUGUUACCCUGGAUGAUUUUUUUGCUUAUGUCUUGUGAUGUUUAACCGUUUCUCGUGGAGCUUUUGCCUCUCUUGCAAUAUGUCUUAAAAAAAGUGAGUUUUCAUAUGUAGUAAAUUUUUCAGGUAGAUUACUUAUGAGUUAAAACCAUAAUAACCAAAUUGUUAGAUAUUAUGUUAAAUUUGUCUUUAUCCAUAAGUUUAAAUAUUUAGGUCAAUUGGUGAUUUAGAUGGAUAAUUAGAACAUGUGGUCUAGGAAAGUUAUGUUUUCAAGUCCAUGUGUAGUUUCUUCUCCGAUCAUUAUUAAUUUUCACUUCAAAUUUUAAGCUCAUAAAUGAGAAGGAAAGUUAGAUAUUAUAUUAGUUUUAAUUAUUGACUAAACUUAAAGUUUUGAGUCGAAACUUUAUAAAUCAAAAUAUAUAUAAAAUAUAUUUUACCAAAUUAAAACUAACUUGGAACAGUAGGAAUUAAAUUGAAAGAAAAACUCUGAAAUAGUUAGAAGAAAAAAUUAAUUAAAGACUUAACAAGAUUAAAAAGUACUAUAAAAUAUUUUCUAUGGAUAUAUAUGCUUGAAUGUUUACCUUACAUGUUAAAUGAAAAAAUAUACUUAAACUUUCCUUUAAAAAAUAUUAAUUAUGAUUUGAAAAUUAUAGAAAAAUUGUCCAAAAAUAUUUAAAUUUUAUAAUAUAAAAUUUUGUUAUAUAUUUGUAAAAAUUUAGUUUUUAGAUUCAAUUUUGUUAUAUUUUAAAAUGGUUCGGAAUUCUUUUGCUAAAAUAUUGAAAUUAAUGAGGUCAUUUAACUAAUUGACUACGGCGAUUUCGUAUUUAUGGUCCUUAUUUGGAAAUUUAAUAACUUAAAAUCUAAUAUCAUAUAAUUAAUAAUUAGGUAUGCACUUAAUUAUGAUUCACGAGUUUUUGUACAAAAAUGAUUGAUGGAGUUUCAUUUCAUCGAUUAAUUAUUGGUGGGGUUUUACAAAUUAUGAUUGCCCUUUGAAUAUAUAGCUCUACUUUUACUAACAUGUGGUGUUGGUGCAUUCAACCUCUAACUAAUUCCCUUAAUAAUACAAACACCAUUCAAUUUCAUGAAAUUAUAUUUCUUUACUUUUCAUACCCACCUUUUUUUCUCCCAUUUUCAUUCAAUAAUUUUUUAAAGAUUCAUAUUAUCAUACUUUUAGCUCAGUUAAUGUGAUGUUUAUCUCCGUGAUUAACGGUUAAGUUUACCUUUUUUUUCUUUACAAAGUUUUAACUUUAGAUAUUACGAUACAAAGUUGAUAAAUAUAACAAAAUUUAGAUUUAGCUUUCAAAACAGUCUAUCAAAAAUGAUGGUUUGAAAGGCUAUCAGCAGUGGUUAUUGAAAAAUGAUUGUCAACGGUUGUGGCAUGAAUAGUGGUUGGAGGUUGGCUAGUGGGGAUCAACGAAAGUGGUGACUAAAUUUUUUUACACAAAUUAGAAGAGAUUAAAACCGUUAAAACAUUCCAAGUUUAUUUUUCUAAAAGUUGGUUUGUAAACAUUUACCCUAAAAUAACUUAUUUUAUAAACUUGAUUUUUCAAAAUUUAUUUUAGAUAAUUGUCAAAUACAUGAAUUUUUUUUUUCUUUAAAACAACUUAUUUUUUAAUUUAAACAUUUGGAAAAGACGAUCCAAACCCACAAUCUAAAUUACCUUAAAAGGUAUGGGAACGCACUUUAGUCUUUUGCUUAAGUUGCCUCUUGAAAUCUUGUAUUUGAAUGGAAAGCUGAACUAAAAUUAAAUUGAAACAAAAAAGACUUUGUUUCUAGCAACCUUGAUUGUAUUUUCCCAAGAUUUUGUUCUUUGCAGAUCAGCUACGUAGUACGAUCAAUUGGGUAUUUGGAAAAUAGUUGCGGUUCAAAUUCAUCCACUCUGCCAAAGAAAAAACAAAAACAACAGAUCAGUAUCAAUAAAUCAAGUAGGGCCUAAACCAAAAAGAUGUUUAUCUUGACAAUUAGCCCAACCUAACUUUCAUCUCUAUAUCCUUCUUCCAUUCCAACACCAAAUCCCCCAAACACUGAAGUCUCCAAAAUUUGGUUCAUAUGGCUUUGAUUUUUGCCAUUAUUUCUACAUUAGCUCUUCUUGCUCUCACUCUUCUCUUCAAAUUCUACCCCUUCAAAGCCCAAAAAUUGCCUCCUGGUCCUAUAGGAUUUCCCUUUGUUGGUAGUCUCCAUUUAUUAGGAAAGCUCCCUCAUAGAGAUUUUCAUAUAUUAUCCCAAAAAUAUGGACCCAUUAUGCACAUAAAAUUAGGUCUUGUUCCCACAAUCAUAGUCUCUUCUCCUAAAGCUGCUGAACUCUUCCUCAAAACUCAUGACCUUGUUUUUGCAAGCAGGCCCCUUUUAGAAGCCUCAAAGCAAAUGAAUUAUGGGCAAAAGAACUUAGUUUUUGCCCCAUAUGGUCCUUAUUGGCGCAACAUGCGUAAAAUGUGCACUCUUGAAUUGCUUAGUAACCUUAAAAUCAACUCUUUCAUGCCUAUGAGAAAACACGAGCUUGGUUUGUUGAUUGAGUACUUAAAAGAAGUUGCUCACAACAAAGCUGUUGUGAAUCUGAGUGCUAAAGUUACGUCACUUACAACUGACCUUAUUUGUUUGAUGGCAUU